GUGAGAAGGAAUGAAUGCUUCACUGAGGCUGGAUUAUUUAAGCAAAAUAGUUCUAAAAUAUAAGUGAAAGAUCUUACAAAUUGAUGACUCGGUAACUUCCAGAUUAUUUGAAUUCUGAGAGCUGUGACUGUGAUAACAGCAAUUAGGUUUAAAGACUGAACAAUCCCUCUGCCUAUCGGAUUCAACACACCUGCAAAAACAAACGCUGAGCAAUAUAAUAAAAUGCUCUGACUGGUUCCUAAUGGUACUCAAGUUCCAUUCAAAACAUAGCAUCAAGCAGAUUAAGUACUACCAGACACAACAUAAAUUAUGGUAGUCCAAUAAAUGCUGCCAGACCUGCUGACUUUCUCCAACUAUUAUGUUUUUUGGACCAAUUAAUUUGCUUUGGUGAUUUUGAGAUAAAUGCUUGCCAGGACAAAAGAUUCCUAUUCUUUCUCCAUCUGCCUGAACAAGUAGAAGGUGCCUGGGCUUAACAUUUCAUCAAGAAAAAUAGAAUUUCUCCUUCAAUACUGUAUUGACAUGUCAUCCAAGAUGAUUAUGUGCUGAAAUGUAGUGGGACCUGAACCCAUAACCUCCUGACUUACCAGCAGGAAUGCUACUGCUAAGGCAAGCUUAUACUCAUCUCUUGUUUAUUUGUUUAGAAUUUUUGUUUUGCUUGCCAAGGCAAUUACUUAGAAUUCCAGAGAAAGACAGCAUGUUAUAGGGCAUAAAGUGAGACCAAAAUAGAAAUAACACCGCAAGAACA
Molecule: long non-coding RNA, 745 nt
Organism: Stegostoma tigrinum
Lineage: Eukaryota; Metazoa; Chordata; Chondrichthyes; Orectolobiformes; Stegostomatidae
Exons: 3
Source: RefSeq, a predicted model, not a curated record